Molecule: long non-coding RNA, 1007 nt
Filed under: Phoenix dactylifera (date palm)
Lineage: Eukaryota; Viridiplantae; Streptophyta; Magnoliopsida; Arecales; Arecaceae
Description: long non-coding RNA (PDAC_LNC001002)
Source: RNAcentral
AAGCAUCCACCGCACUUAAUUAAGAAAACGGUUAAAGCACCAAAAUUUAGAAGAAACCAAUUCACCCCCCCCCCCCUCUUGGCUUGUCACCUUGGGCAACAUGUGUCCAUGCUACAGUGCCUACUUCAUGUUAUAAGAUUAAGUAGGAUCGUUUUAUCCAAAUCCUGACAGUGUUUUCCAGCUUCGCUAAUAAAAUAUCUGGAAGAGUUUGCUUAAGUUACAUGCAACGAUAAGCUUGUUGAUUAGCAAGCAUACUUUCAUCUAGAAAACAAAAACUCGAUUUCAGUUACUAAACUUGUCUAACAUACACCACAUUAUAAUUGAAGGGUAUAAUUAAGGGACAUUGACCAUAUUGGGAAUAAAACCAUACACUAUUGAGUCACCUCCGAGAUGCUUGCCGAGUACGAUGAGCUACGCUUGUGGAGCUGGAGCCAGGAAUCUGCAAAGAUCAAGUAAACAUAUGCUCAUAGUAGUACUACAUGAUGGGGACAUCAGAGCCCUUCAUCCAGAUGAUCCUGAGCCCCCGGAUUGAGCCAGACUCGUUUAUUUGCAUAUUUAUUUUAUUAUUUUAUUUUUGGGCUUAUUUGCAUUCUAGGGUUUAUUUGUGGUUUAUUUUAUUUCUGAGCUUAUUUGUGUUAUUUGUGGGUUCAUUAGGAUUUAUUUCUGUGUAAGGGGGGUUUAUGCAAGUUGUGUAUUUGGGCCCUAUAUAUAGGGAACUAUUUUCAUGAUUAGGGUUUAAUGAAUGAUUAAGAAUUUCUUUUCCUCCCAGAUCUUAUUCUUCCUCCUCCUCCUCCCCUUCUCUUCUUCCUGUGUCUCUAGAACCUCUUCUUCCUUCUUUCUCUCUUGUUCUUCCUUCUUCUCCUCUUUUUCCGCAUUUGUGCGGCAUCACUACAUCGCACAACAAACUAAUGAUCAGAGUUUCAGAUAGUACUAUAAGAAGCUUAAUGCCAAGGAAUAGCAUAAGUACGUUGAUCUUCCAAGUUUAACAAUCUUCAAUCUAUUAAACG